UUUAUUUAAAAUCCAGCCAACUCUUGCUCUUGAAGCGUCACCAUAGCUAACCGAGGACCCGCAAGUCACCAGUUUUACAGUUUUCAGGCUGUCAUGUUCAUACAUUAAAUAACCCAGAGCAUACAUGCUUCUCUCCAGUUGGUCGGAAUCUGAAGAAGGCGGUGUCGAAAUGCAAAGAUCCUGCAGGUGGUUCGGCCUGCAAAGGCUCAUCUCAUCGUCGACAGACCAAUCCAGCAAAUUUGUGUCAGGAGGAAGACUGAGGNNNNNNNNNNNNNNNNNNNNNNNNNNNNNNNNNNNNNNNNNNNNNNNNNNNNNNNNNNNNNNNNNNNNNNNNNNNNNNNNNNNNNNNNNNNNNNNNNNNNAGUACGUAUACUACGUAGUAUAUAUAUAUAUAUAUAUAUAUAUAUAUAUAUAUAUAUAUAUACAUAUAAUAUAUUAUAAAACAAUUCACAGUUAUGCAAAUAUAGUAUCCCAGCGUCAGACAGAACACGAGUAUUGCAAGUGCAGUAAAAGCAGGAAAAACACGUUCAACCUUGCCUUAUUUCCUUAUUUCCGGUUGAUCGUUGUACAAACGACUUUAAGAAAAAUAAACAACUGGAAAGUAAAAUCAUGAUUUUACACUCUUAGAGCAGAUUAAUCUAAAUACCAAACUAGGAGUAAAUACAUUUUCAGAACAACUGACUGAAUAUCGAAGGGUCCAAAUUGUUUUUUAUUCAGAGUUUGAAAAAUCUUGAACAAAAAAUAGAGGGAAAGCUAGAGACUGCAUUGGAAGUAACUGAGAGUUCUGUUUUACUGUAAAGAUAAAGUUGGGUGAUGGAGAUGAAGAUCGUUAGAACACCAUAUGAAAACAUUAUUGGAACACAAAUUGCAACUGGAAAUAACAGCUAGUGACUAAAACUCGGAUGUUUCUGCAGGCACUUUCUCUGGAGCUCAUUCAUGUCUUCUCUUUUUGUAUGAUCAGCAGAGCGCUCCCAGGAAAUUCAGACUGAGAAUGAGGCACAGCCAGCACUGCAUGGAAAUAUGAAGAGAAACGCUGUGUCAUUGAAAUCAUGGAGCAAACUUGAUAAAGAAAAAUAAUAUACAAAGCGAGUACGUACAAGGUAAGUAACUUACUCAUAUCUUGCAUGCAUGCAUCCAACCUUUUAUUCAGUCGACCGACUCAGCAGCCCAUCACGGCGCACACAAUCCAACUUACUCAUAUAUUGUAUGCAUGCAUUCUUUAUUCAGUUGACCGACUCAGCAACCCAUCACUGCGCACACAAUCCGCUCGCCCCGGUAUGGCCGUGUGGCAAACAAAUCCCAGACAGGCGGUUCCCCAUCCGGGGUCCAUGAAUGAAGCUCAACCACCUUUUCAUCUGUUGAAUCGUUUGGACGCCCGAUAACAAUCAGCCGGUCACCACACGCUCGGAAACCCAUGUCCCAGCCAUCUUUGUCCUUAGACUGCACGGGCAAUUUUCCAAGAGUGGUCCACUUGUUGUCCAGCUUAUCAUACAGCUUCAAAUCAUUAUUCUCACUGUAAUCAGCAGCAUAAAGCUCGUUGUUCACAACCGCAAGGAGCGGAGGAGCUCCCGCGAAUGUCUCGUUGAGCCCCUGAGACAUGUUGUCGAUGACCCUCCAUGACCGCAGGUUCAAGUCAUACUCCUCACCGCAAGUCAACACCUGGUGGCUACUGGAAUAACCACCGAUGACAUAGAACUUGCCGUCCAUGAAGGCGCCAGAGCAUCCGUACCUGGCCCUAUUCAUGCUGGGAAGGGGUGUCCAAGUAUGUGUCUCCGAGUCAUACAUCUCUGCCGUGCUCAAUACAUUAGUACCAGAAGGAUCAAGGCCUCCCGCGACGUACGCCUUCUCACCUACACUGGCUGACCCAAACCAGGCCCGCGGGGUGUUGAUCGCAUCAGCAUCAGCAUCAGGCAGCCCUGUCCAUGAAUUGGUAAGGAUGCUAUAUCUCAAGGAAACCCCUGCGGACCCAAACACCAGCAGCUCGGUUCCUACAGCCAGUGACUCCCAGAAUCUGCUUUGAGCCGGUGGCAUCUUGGGCACUUUGAUCCAGCGCCCGGUGGACGGGUCAUAAGCAUCCCACUCCGGAGGAUUAUUAUUACCGCAGGAGAGGUAGAUCCAGUGCUCUGCCACCCCAUUCUUGCGACGAAGGCGGUAGAUGUCCCCGUCGCGAACCACCGAAUUGAAUUCACGGUUGAGGGAGGCGAUGGAGGCGCCGUAGUCCCGCCUGGACACAAGGUGGAGGCAACGGAUGAAGAGCUCCCGACCUAUCACAUCAAUGGUAUUGCUCCACGACACCACGGUCUGCUGCGCUCCACCUGACAAAAGCCAACAGCUCAUCCAUCGUCUUACUAAUUUCUACGAGUAAUUAAUAGCUAUUGGAACUCCUGUUGACUGAAUAGCAUACCUGGAGGAUUCAGGCGUGAACAGGACUCUGGUGACCUCGAUGAUACCCUGCAGGUUACAACUACCAUUUAGAGCAUGAGCAUGAAUAGUCAAAUCAGGUUUAAUCGAAUAACUCAACAUCAACAAAAGUAGUUUACAACAGCAACAAAAGUAGUACCUUUUAUCGCCAUGGGAACCGGAAUCCACUAAUUUCACCUCGAUUAUAGGAUUGCUCAGAUGAUUGCUAACAACACCGAUCCUCGCGACAUACUGCAGAUCAACAGCCGCACCCCCAAAUUUAGCGGAGACCUCUCUAAGGCCCGUCAUAUGCUCGAUGCUGAUUAGUGCAUUACCAUGUCGAUAUUGUCUCCACUGGUCACGCUUAGAAUAAAGUUCAAGUCGUUGGUCCAUUUGAGGGAUGGCGUCGAAAACAAGCCUGAGCUUCCAGAGAUUAGGCAUUGCGUCCGCCUCAAAUCUUAGCCAAGCUAUUCCACUCAUGAACCUCAGCUUCAAGUACUUGAGAGCUGUGAAUCCAGCAGCCGUGCCAAAGAUUAUCUUAACAUUAGGUGACUUGUCCACAUACAAUGACAGGGCAGUGAGGGCAGGAAACCCACUAAGAAUAUCAACGUCAUUUACUGACAGUCCAUCCACUGCAAUCUUCAGAAUGCAUAGGUUGCCAAGUUGGAUCUUCCACCUAUGCAUUUCGCAAAAUACGACGGGGCUGUGUGGUGAGACCUCGAAUCUCUGGAGAUGGUGGAUAGGUCUAUCCAAGACCCACAAAACUCUUGCUUCUGAAGCGUCACCAUAGCUAACCGAGGAUCCAUGAGCCACCAGUUUUACAGUUUUCAGGCUGUCAUGUUCAUACAUUAAAUAAUCCAGAACAUACAUGUUUCUCUUCAAAUGGUCGGAAUCUGAAGAAGGCGAUGUAGAAAUGCAAAGAUCCUGCAGGUGGCUCGGCUUGCAAAGGCACAUAUCAUCACCGACAGACCAAUCCAGCAAAUUUGUGUCAGGAGGAAGACUGAGGUGCAACAAGCGUGGGAGAUAUAUAAUGUCCCAUGGAACAUAAGUCCCCCUUGGUGUAUCCAUAACAUCAAGUGUUUCCAAACACUGCAGCCCU
This 3499-nucleotide long non-coding RNA is filed under the name Hordeum vulgare. RNAcentral's name for it is "long non-coding RNA (HVUL_LNC017183)". Lineage: Eukaryota; Viridiplantae; Streptophyta; Magnoliopsida; Poales; Poaceae. The record is from RNAcentral.